AGUGAACGCUGGCGGUAGGCCUAACACAUGCAAGUCGAACGGCAGCACAGUAAGAGCUUGCUCUUACGGGUGGCGAGUGGCGGACGGGUGAGGAAUACAUCGGAAUCUACUUUUUCGUGGGGGAUAACGUAGGGAAACUUACUCUAAUACCGCAUACGACCUACGGUUGAAAGCAGUGGAUCUUCGGACCUUGCGCGAUUGAAUGAGCCGAUGUCGGAUUAGCUAGUUGGCGGGGUAAAGGCCCACCCAGGCGACGAUCCGUAGCUGGUCUGAGAGGAUGAUCGGCCACACUGGAACUGAGACACGGUCAAGACUCCUAAGGGAGGCAGCAGUGGGGAAUAUUGGACAAUGGGCGCAAGCAUGAUCCAGCCAUACCGCGUGGGUGAAGAAGGCCUUCGGGUUGUAAAGCCCUUUUGUUGGGAAAGAAAAGCAGCAGGUUAAUACCCCGCUGUUCUGACGGUACCCAAAGAAUAAGCACCGGCUAACUUCGUG
RNAcentral lists this ribosomal RNA (492 nucleotides) under uncultured bacterium. RNAcentral's name for it is "partial 16S ribosomal RNA". It matches the Rfam family "Bacterial small subunit ribosomal RNA", at positions 29 to 507 of the family's 1533-position model. The record is from RNAcentral.